UUGCCAAGCAGAAGUAUUUUAUUUAAGUAGGAAGCAAGAUUAUUUCUCAAAUGCAUUUUUACUAGUUCAUCUAAGCAUGUUGAAUUUCAAAACAAGAGAUCUUGAUACAGAAGCACUCAGGAAUGAAAUUAAUGUUACUGCGUAACUGUUAAUUCUGUUUUUUUAGGCAGACAGUGCUGAUUUAUGGGAGUGUUUCCUUCCCCUCCACAAGCGUAACACUCGUUCUCACUCACACAGCGGUAGAGAGGAACGUUAGCCACAAUCUGCUUAAAUUUGGUCUGGAGAUCUUUUUCUGUGUCAAACUUCCAGAAAUUCUUGAAGACAAAUGCUUUAAUGCCAUCGUGAUUUUUCCAGUUCUCCAGGGCCUUUAUAAUGCUGUGACUGCCUGUCGCAUCUAGACAUGUGUCAACACAGGGAGAUUCAAAGGUGUAGAAAACAGAGCAGCCGUCUUUUCUUUUAUUCAAGAGAUUUGUCAUGGGCGAGUUGUCAGCAGGAUUCAGUAGGAGAGACUCUGAAUGCAUAUUGUAUUGCUUCUUUUACUGAUUAAACCUUUCUAGUUCCUGCUGCGAUGAGCUCUGCACCUUGGUAAAGUGCAUUUGUGUCAUCAGAAAUAGUAUUUUUCACAUUCGUUUGCAUUCUCCUGAGUCAAGAAGUUGCCCGUUGUAGGAUUGAAGUUCUGUUGACACUGCUCCUUCGGUACAUUGAUGGCCACAGCGUACUGACGAGGAUGCCCAUCGUUAUCAACUCUCUUAUAGCUGGAAAACAUUAAACACAGUCAAGUAUUGUUUAAGGUGACUUAUUCCCAAGUUUUUAACACAUGACCGGUUGACUGAUUAUUUCUCUACUCCUCAUUGCUUCCUUUAAUUUUUACUAUAAACUUUCAACUUGAGACAGACUUACUUAUUCUCAAAGAAGCCUAUAAUAUGGGCGAGAGUUUUUAUGUCCACACGGUCACCUUCAACACUUUCUGUCCAAUCAGUAAGCAGAAAGAGCAGCAGGAACCCACUGAGAAACACCGUGAAUUUCUAAAGUGACAGAACACAGCACAGGCACACAGAAAAAACAUGAAAAAUUCAUACAUACCAUGUGCAUAGCUCAUCAUAACUC
Molecule: long non-coding RNA, 1107 nt
Organism: Ictalurus punctatus (channel catfish)
Lineage: Eukaryota; Metazoa; Chordata; Actinopteri; Siluriformes; Ictaluridae
Source: Ensembl